This is a long non-coding RNA of Medicago truncatula (barrel medic), 368 nucleotides long. RefSeq lists it as uncharacterized. The transcript has 2 exons. The record is from RefSeq and is a predicted model, not a curated record. NCBI's taxonomy places the organism in Eukaryota, Viridiplantae, Streptophyta, Magnoliopsida, Fabales, Fabaceae.
UGUUUAUUUAUUACAUGUAAAUGAGAAAAGAUAUGGCUCGAAUUUCCUUGUUUGUUUAUGCUUUGAUCAUCUUUUUUUCUUUAUUUUUUGUUUUAACCAAUGGUGAACUUGAAAUUCGAUGUGUCAGUGACGCUGAUUGUCCUUUGUUUCCUCUCCCUCUACAUAAUAGGUGCAUUGACGAUGUUUGUCAUUUGUUUACCUCAUAAUAUUAUUUGUAUAUCAUAAUAUUUUUAUUUUCAUAAUUUACCUUAAAGUUUGAGAUUUAUGUUUUUCUUGUAUCAAAAACAACAAUGUCCUUGCUUGAUUAUAGCUACUAAUAAAUAAAGAUAAUAUAUGGUUAUGUAAAUUAUCUAUUUAUUUUAGUUCUA